RNAcentral lists this long non-coding RNA (298 nucleotides) under Mytilus galloprovincialis (Mediterranean mussel). Lineage: Eukaryota; Metazoa; Mollusca; Bivalvia; Mytilida; Mytilidae. The record is from RNAcentral.
UUCGUUUUGAUGUUGAUAUAUGUCCUAGUUAACCGUUGAAGCUGUUGCAUUUUGUUUGCAUGUUUAUUCUUUUAGUGCGAUUUACUCUAUUUAAGUUGGAAAAAAAUAUUCCCGACAUCCGGAAAUUCGAAAAAAGACUUCUCGGAUCCCGAAACCUGAUCAUCAUACUGCAUUCAUUCAGUCUCUGUCGGGACGGUGUUAAAGUAUCACCGUAUAGAAAUUUUCAUUCAAACGAUGUAUUCUUAUAAUAUUUAUUUUCUAAUCCAUAUGAUAGGUAUAUUGUACUUAGUAUAUAUAU